GCAGUCGAGCGGACAGAAGGGAGCUUGCUCCCGGAUGUUAGCGGCGGACGGGUGAGUAACACGUGGGUAACCUGCCUGUAAGACUGGGAUAACUCCGGGAAACCGGAGCUAAUACCGGAUAGUUCCUUGAACCGCAUGGUUCAAGGAUGAAAGACGGUUUCGGCUGUCACUUACAGAUGGACCCGCGGCGCAUUAGCUAGUUGGUGGGGUAAUGGCUCACCAAGGCGACGAUGCGUAGCCGACCUGAGAGGGUGAUCGGCCACACUGGGACUGAGACACGGCCCAGACUCCUACGGGAGGCAGCAGUAGGGAAUCUUCCGCAAUGGACGAAAGUCUGACGGAGCAACGCCGCGUGAGUGAUGAAGGUUUUCGGAUCGUAAAGCUCUGUUGUUAGGGAAGAACAAGUGCGAGAGUAACUGCUCGCACCUUGACGGUACCUAACCAGAAAGCCACGGCUAACUACGUGCCAGCAGCCGCGGUAAUACGUAGGUGGCAAGCGUUGUCCGGAAUUAUUGGGCGUAAAGGGCUCGCAGGCGGUUUCUUAAGUCUGAUGUGAAAGCCCCCGGCUCAACCGGGGAGGGUCAUUGGAAACUGGGAAACUUGAGUGCAGAAGAGGAGAGUGGAAUUCCACGUGUAGCGGUGAAAUGCGUAGAGAUGUGGAGGAACACCAGUGGCGAAGGCGACUCUCUGGUCUGUAACUGACGCUGAGGAGCGAAAGCGUGGGGAGCGAACAGGAUUAGAUACCCUGGUAGUCCACGCCGUAAACGAUGAGUGCUAAGUGUUAGGGGGUUUCCGCCCCUUAGUGCUGCAGCUAACGCAUUAAGCACUCCGCCUGGGAGUACGGUCGCAAGACUGAAACUCAAAGGAAUUGACGGGGGCCCGCACAAGCGGUGGAGCAUGUGGUUUAAUUC
Molecule: ribosomal RNA, 911 nt
Filed under: Bacillus sp. (in: firmicutes)
Lineage: Bacteria; Bacillati; Bacillota; Bacilli; Caryophanales; Bacillaceae
Description: bacterial SSU rRNA
Rfam family: Bacterial small subunit ribosomal RNA
Source: RNAcentral